RNAcentral lists this ribosomal RNA (1469 nucleotides) under uncultured bacterium. RNAcentral describes it as "bacterial SSU rRNA". It matches the Rfam family "Bacterial small subunit ribosomal RNA". The record is from RNAcentral.
AGAGUUUGAUCAUGGCUCAGAAUGAACGUUGGCGGCGUGGAUUAGGCAUGCAAGUCGCGCGGGUGUAGCAAUACAUCAGCGGCGUAAGGGACAGGAAUACGUAGACAACCUACCCUCGGGACCUGAAUAGCUGCGGGAAACUGCAGGUAAUGCGGGAUAACGUCUCCGGACCAAAGGUGUGAGUCCGCCGGAGGAUGGGUCUGCGUCCUAUUAGCUAGUUGGUGAGGUAAUGGCUCACCAAGGCAAUGAUGGGUAGCAGGUGUGAGAGCACGACCUGCGUCACUGGGACUGAGACACUGCCCAGACACCUACGGGUGGCUGCAGUCGAGGAUUUUCGUCAAUGGGCGCAAGCCUGAACGAGCGACGCCGCGUGCGGGAUGAAGGCCUUCGGGUUGUAAACCGCUGUCAGUGGGGAGGAAAUGUAUGUGGGUACUCCCACAUAUUUGACUAAUCCGCAGAGGAAGUGUGGGCUAAGCUCGUGCCAGCAGCCGCGGUAAGACGAGCCACACAAACGUUAUUCGGAAUCACUGGGCUUAAAGGGUGCGUAGGCUGUGCAGAAAGUUGGGUGUGAAAUCCGACAGCUCAACUGUCGAAGUGCACUCAAUACUACUGUGCUAGAGGAAGACAGAGGUAAGCGGAACUGAGGGUGGAGCGGUGAAAUGCGUUGAUAUCCUCAGGAACACCGGUGGCGAAGGCGGCUUACUGGGUCUUUUCUGACGCUGAGGCACGAAAGCUAGGGGAGCGAACGGGAUUAGAUACCCCGGUAGUCCUAGCCGUAAACAAUGAGCACUGGAUUGAAGGGUCCUCCAUAGCCUUUCAGUCGUAGCGAAAGUGUUAAGUGCUCCGCCUGGGGAGUAUGGUCGCAAGGCUGAAACUCAAAGAAAUUGACGGGGGCUCACACAAGCGGUGGAGGAUGUGGCUUAAUUCGAGGCUACGCGAGGAACCUUAUCCUAGUCUUGACAUGCAUGGAUUAACCCUAUGAAGUAGGGGCCACGCCUCGGGUGGAACAGCACAGGUGCUGCAUGGCUGUCGUCAGCUCGUGUCGUGAGAUGGCCCGGUAAGUCGCUUAACGAGCGAAACCCUUGUCACUAGUUGCCAGCGCGUCAUGGCGGGGACUCUAGUGAGACUGCCGGUGUUAAACCGGAGGAAGGUGGGGAUGACGUCAAGUCCUCAUGGCCCUUAUGACUAGGGCUGCACACGUCCUACAAUGGCACGCACAAAGGGAUGCAAACUCGCGAGAGCCAGCAAAUCCCAAAAAACGUGCCCCAGUUCGGAUUGCAGGCUGCAACUCGCCUGCAUGAAGCCGGAAUCGCUAGUAAUCGCGGGUCAGCAUACCGCGGUGAAUGUGUUCCUGAGCCUUGUACACACCGCCCGUCAAGCCACGAAAGUGGGGGGCAUCCGAAGCCAGUGAGGUAACCGCAAGGAACCAGCUGUCUAAGAUGAACUCCGCGAUUGGGACUAAGUCGUAA